RNAcentral lists this unclassified non-coding RNA (1973 nucleotides) under Hevea brasiliensis (rubber tree). The record is from RNAcentral. Lineage: Eukaryota; Viridiplantae; Streptophyta; Magnoliopsida; Malpighiales; Euphorbiaceae.
GAAAAUGUCAAGGGAAAAUGGGUUAGUGUUGCUGCUAUUGUUUUUCUCUUCAUGGAUUACUUCUGCUACAGCUACUGUAACAUAUGAUCAUAAAGCUAUUGUUAUCAAUGGACAAAGAAGGAUCCUUAUUUCUGGUUCUAUUCAUUACCCAAGAAGCACUCCAGAGAUGUGGCCAGGCCUUAUACAGAAAGCUAAAGAAGGAGGCUUGGAUAUGAUACAAACUUAUGUCUUCUGGAAUGGACACGAGCCUACUCAAGGACAAUACUAUUUUGAGGAUAGGUAUGAUAUAGUGAAGUUCAUCAAGCUGGUGCAGCAAGCAGGCCUCUAUGUUCAUCUGCGGAUAGGACCUUAUAUUUGCGCAGAAUGGAACUUCGGGGGAUUUCCUAUGUGGCUAAAAUAUGUUCCUGGGAUUGAAUUUAGAACAGACAAUGCCCCUUUCAAGGAUGCAAUGCAAAAAUUCACAACCAAGAUUGUGGCUAUGAUGAAGGCAGAAAGGUUGUUUGAACCUCAGGGAGGUCCAAUAAUUCUAUCUCAGAUUGAAAAUGAAUAUGGACCAGUGGAAUGGGAAAUUGGUUCACCAGGUAAAUCAUAUACAAAAUGGGCAGCUGCAAUGGCAGUAGGCCUUAAUACAGGAGUCCCAUGGGUCAUGUGCAAACAACAAGAUGCCCCUGAUCCAACUAUUGAUACCUGCAAUGGAUUCUACUGUGAAGGCUACAAACCAAAUAACUACAAUAAACCAAAAAUGUGGACAGAAAAUUGGACUGGUUGGUAUACAGAAUUUGGUGCUACAGUUCCUUACAGGCCACCAGAAGAUACAGCAUUUUCAGUUGCGAGGUUUAUAGCCAAUAGUGGUUCGUUUGUAAAUUAUUAUAUGUAUCAUGGAGGAACCAAUUUUGGUCGAACUUCUGGCCUUUUCAUGGCCACUAGCUAUGAUUAUGAUGCCCCUCUUGAUGAAUAUGGAUUACCACAUGAUCCAAAGUGGGGACAUUUGAGAGAUCUGCAUAAAGCCAUCAAGCUAUGUGAACCUGCUUUAAUCUCUGUAGAUCCUACAAUAACCUCUCUUGGGAAGAAUCAAGAGGCUCAUGUGUACCAAGCAAAAACCGCCUGUGCAGCCUUUCUAGCAAACUAUGACACACAAUAUUCUGUGAAAGUAGUGUUUUGGAAUAAGGAAUACUGGCUUCCACCUUGGUCUAUCAGCAUCCUUCCUGAUUGCAAAACUGUAGUUUACAACACUGCAAGGAUUGGUGCUCAAAGUACACAGAUUUCGAUGAUUCCUGCAGUGAGUGGAUUUUCUUGGCAGUCAUACAAUGAUGAAGUUCCUGUUGGUUAUGGUCAGGGGACAUUUACACAUGAUGGAUUGUGGGAGCAAAAGUUCAUCACGUGGGAUAAAACAGAUUAUUUAUGGUAUAUGACAAAUGUAAACAUAGACCAAAGUGAAGGGUUUUUGAAGAAUGGAAAGAGUCCAUUUCUCACAGUUAAUUCAGCUGGCCAUGUGUUGCAUGUUUUCAUCAAUGGUCAACUAGCAGGAACUGUGUAUGGAUCAUUAGACGAUCCUAAGGUAAAGUUCAGCCAAAAUGUGAAUUUGAAAGCUGGUACAAAUACCAUCUCCCUGUUGAGUGCUACCGUGGGUCUUCCGAAUGUUGGUGUGCAUUAUGAUACAUGGAAUGCUGGGGUUAUGGGCCCAGUCACAUUAUCAGGUUUAAAUCAAGGAACAUUAGACAUGUCAAAGUGGAAAUGGUCUUACAAGAUUGGUGUAAAAGGCGAAGACUUAAACCUAGGAACCUCUGCUGGGAGUUCAUCAGUUCGCUGGGCUCAAGGACCACAAUUGUCUAAAAAACAACCACUAACAUGGUACAAGACUAGCUUUGAUGCACCACCAGGCAAUGACCCAUUAGCUUUAGAUAUGAGUGGUAUGGGAAAAGGUCAAAUAUGGGUAAAUGGUCAGAGUAUAGGACGCCACUGGCCUGGAUAUA